This 253-nucleotide ribosomal RNA is filed under the name uncultured bacterium. RNAcentral describes it as "partial 16S ribosomal RNA". It matches the Rfam family "Bacterial small subunit ribosomal RNA", at positions 524 to 776 of the family's 1533-position model. The record is from RNAcentral.
UACGUAGGUGGCGAGCGUUGUCCGGAUUUACUGGGCGUAAAGGGAGCGUAGGCGGACUUCUAAGUGAGAUGUGAAAUACUCGGGCUCAACUUGAGUGCUGCAUUUCAAACUGGAAGUCUAGAGUGCAGGAGAGGAGAAUGGAAUUCCUAGUGUAGCGGUGAAAUGCGUAGAGAUUAGGAAGAACACCAGUGGCGAAGGCGAUUCUCUGGACUGUAACUGACGCUGAGGCUCGAAAGCGUGGGGAGCAAACAGG